CUACUCCCCUGUUGCGCCUUUGCCCUCCCGAACGACGUCCGGGCCCGCGGUCCGAACCAGGUUUGCUGGACGGGGGACGUAUUCCGGCCCGCAGCUAACACCGGACCGAAUUCUGGGAAGGAAACCGACCGGGUCGGACGAAAGGCCGGCUCCUUCGUCGGUCGUUACGUUAACUGGACCGUCUAGGAGGCCUAACGGAAAGCGGGUAGGGGACGGACCGAAACGAGGUAAGUUAAGAACCUUACCCCGUUAGGGUUACGUACCCACCGGUAACCCGGUAAAACGUAGUAGGAGGUGACGUUAGGGUUGGUUGGACUUUCCCGGUUACCGGGUAUUACGAGUCGCCGACAGACGUACGCUAAUAGCACUCCGCGGUGGGAGUACGCCAGUAGGUAGAACUAGAAAGUAUGGACGGGGCCCGCACAAGCGGUGGAGCAUGUGGUUUAAUUCGAAGCAACGCGAAGAACCUUACCAGGUCUUGACAUCCCGAUGCUAUUUCUAGAGAUAGAAAGUUACUUCGGUACAUCGGUGACAGGUG
RNAcentral lists this ribosomal RNA (538 nucleotides) under uncultured bacterium. RNAcentral describes it as "partial 16S ribosomal RNA". The stretch from base 376 to 538 matches the Rfam family "Bacterial small subunit ribosomal RNA", at positions 875 to 1040 of the family's 1533-position model. The record is from RNAcentral.